UCUGUUUGUGGACGAGAUCAUUCUAGUGAAACCUGCAAAUUUAAAAUGUAUUCAUGUCGUGUGUGCAACCAGGAGGGACACUUAAAGAAGAUGUGCCCGCGAUUGUCGCGUUCCGUGGGGCACCAUUAUGUUAUUACGGAAACGGGAAACCAAUCGAUCCCAGAAGAUGAUUUAGAGUUCCAGAUUUAAAGACGUAUUCUCGGAGGGGCUGGGCCGGUACAAUGGCGGGCUGGUCACGCUGCGGGUGAGAGACGGCGCCAGGCCGGUAUUCCUGCGCGCGCGGCCGCUGGCGUACGCCCUUCGUGGACCGGUGGAGCGGGAGCUCGAGCGACUGCAGCGAGAAGGGGUCAUUACACCAGUGGAAACAGCGGACUGGGCGACUCCGAUUGUUCCCGUGGUCAAGUCAGAUGGAUCCCUCCGGAUUUGUGGGGAUUACAAGAUAAGUUUAAACAAGUAUUUAGAAGUGGACCGUUUCCCCUUGCCAAGAGUGGAGGAUUUGUUUGCCAAAUUACAUGGUGGUGAAAAGUUAGUAAGAUUGACCUGUCACAGGCAUAUGCCCAGCUAGUUCUGGAUGAUACCUCCAAGUAUACAGUCAUAAACACACACAAGGGGCUGUUUAAAUAUAAUCGUCUUAUAUAUGGUUUAUCCUCGAGUCCUGGUAUUUUCCAGAGAAUUUUGGAACAAAUGUUUGUGGACAUACCUCGAGUUGGUGUGUUUUUAGAUGAUGUGGUUAUUACAGGGUUAGAUGAUCAAGAACAUUUAAAGAAUUUAACUGCAGUUUUUGAGCGACUACAAAA
Molecule: long non-coding RNA, 797 nt
Organism: Cydia strobilella
Lineage: Eukaryota; Metazoa; Arthropoda; Insecta; Lepidoptera; Tortricidae
Exons: 2
Source: RefSeq, a predicted model, not a curated record